GCGAUGAUCUUCAUGAGUUCGAAGCGGCUGUUGUAGAGCUGGAUGUGAGUGGCGUUGUCGUCCUGCGUGUAGAUCUGACAGGUCCUCAGAGGGCGGCUGUUCUUGGACUGUACACAGACAGACAGAGUUAAAGAGACACAAAGACAGACAAACACAC
Long non-coding RNA from Thalassophryne amazonica, 157 nucleotides. RefSeq lists it as uncharacterized. The transcript is spliced from 4 exons. The record is from RefSeq and is a predicted model, not a curated record. NCBI's taxonomy places the organism in Eukaryota, Metazoa, Chordata, Actinopteri, Batrachoidiformes, Batrachoididae.